GCCCCUGCGGAGCAUUAACUACCUUGGUGGGGUAAAGGCCUACCAAGGCGACGAUGCGUACCCGACCUGAGAGGGUGAUCGGCCACACUGGGACUGAGACACGGCCCACACUCCUACGGGAGGCAGCACUAGGGAAUCUUCCGCAAUGGGCGAAAGCCUGACGGAGCAACCCCGCGUGAGUGAUGAAGGUUUUCGGAUCGUAAAGCUCUGUUGCCACGGAAGAACGCUUGAUAUAAUAACUGCUCUUGAAGUGACGGUACCUGAGAAAAAAGCCCCGGCUAACUACGUGCCAUUGCCGCGGUAAUACGUAGGGGGCAGGCGUUGUCCGGAAUUAUUGGGCGUAAAGGGCGCGCAAGCGGCUCUUUAAGUCUGGUGUUUAAUCCCGAGGCUCAACUUCGGGUCGCACUGUAAACUGGAGAG
RNAcentral lists this ribosomal RNA (420 nucleotides) under Paenibacillus kribbensis. RNAcentral's name for it is "bacterial SSU rRNA". It matches the Rfam family "Bacterial small subunit ribosomal RNA", at positions 227 to 640 of the family's 1533-position model. Lineage: Bacteria; Bacillati; Bacillota; Bacilli; Caryophanales; Paenibacillaceae. The record is from RNAcentral.